This is a non-coding RNA of Pimephales promelas (fathead minnow), 480 nucleotides long. The record is from RefSeq and is a predicted model, not a curated record. NCBI's taxonomy places the organism in Eukaryota, Metazoa, Chordata, Actinopteri, Cypriniformes, Leuciscidae.
GGUGUGCUCGCGCGGGAGGCAGAGACGUCUGGGAAGGAGAAGGGUAAGCAGGAGAAUUCGAGAGUUUCGCUGAAAACGUGAAGUAAAACUGUCAGAUUGAGAUUUAUGAGUUUAGAGUAUACCUAUAUCGUCAUGUGACACGAGAACCGCAGUUAGAGCUGAAGUUCGGUCGGUUAUAUCUUCGGACGGAGAACAGUGUUGGAAGCUUGGCUGAGUGCACAAGGAAGAUUGCUGCCUGGAGUCACGGCUGCGUUGACCUUCGACCUCAGAAAACACAGUGGACCGACACCAGCAGAUGACAUGGCCAGACCAUCACUGACUGUGGAGACUACACUGGAGCGUGGAUUCUGUGCCGCUCCUCUUCCUCCAGACUCGGACCUUGAUUUGCAAAGAUGUUCAGAUCAGACGAGUGUGAAUCUUCAGAGUGUGUGCGGCUCAAACUCACCAGCUCUUCUUGCACAGAUGAUCUGAAGAAGAAUC